Molecule: non-coding RNA, 369 nt
Organism: Schizosaccharomyces pombe (fission yeast)
Lineage: Eukaryota; Fungi; Ascomycota; Schizosaccharomycetes; Schizosaccharomycetales; Schizosaccharomycetaceae
Source: the annotation of a GenBank genome assembly
UUCUGUAUUUAGCAAUCUAUUGAAAAGUGAUUUUUUACUAUUUGGUUAUUUAAUAGGUAUCCUGAACCCUCACGAAUCACCAAGCAUUUUUCAAUUCAAAUUACAUAAAUAUAUUUACUCCCAUGUUCCACUGUCAAGAAAUUAAAUUUUCGCGAGCGCGUUUUUAAUAAGUAGCUCUUGGCGAAAUGCUUGUAUUUGGAAAAUCUACUGAUACUUACUACUCCUGAAUAUUAUUUCAAGUACUAUCUAGAUACCAAUUGUUUUAUCCCACGCGUUUCUACUUUUCGAAAGCCACCGGACGCCAAAAUAUUUAACUACCUAGCUACUUAACGUCAUUUUGAAGAGUAUCAUACAAUCAAAUAACGCCAA